Molecule: transfer-messenger RNA, 368 nt
Filed under: Cytophagales
Lineage: Bacteria; Pseudomonadati; Bacteroidota; Cytophagia
Also listed under: 1 other name
Description: MED-G16 sp913046795 Standard tmRNA
Rfam family: transfer-messenger RNA
About the family: Bacterial tmRNA, also known as 10Sa RNA or SsrA, is named for its dual tRNA and mRNA-like properties.
Source: RNAcentral
GGGGUCGACUGGAAUUGACAGUAUGACAAAUUUUAUUUUUGCAUGUCGGGUGAAGGUAACAUCCGUAAUUAAAUACAAAUUUUUUAUAAACGGCGAACGUAAAUACGAUUACGCUAUGGCAGUUUAAGUUCCAAGAAUUUAAAUAACCACAUCAUUUUUAGUUUUGGUCUUCAACUAAUUAAUAUGAUGUCAUAAGAAGAUCUACCAUAUAUUUUUUUCUACGGUCAUAUAUGGGAAUUUAAGUAGAUAAGGAUAGAAGUUGGUUGAUAUUUCCCUGCUCUAUCACGAAAAUUAAAAAUUAUCUAAGCAUGUAGACGGGAUAUUAUUUCCAUAUCUGGACGCGGGUUCGAAUCCCGCCGACUCCACAA